ACUACAGUUACCAAAGGGGAAAAGGGUUGGGGGGAAGGAUAAAUGAGGAGUUUGGGACUAACAUAUACACACUUCUAUAUAUAAAAUAGGUAAACAGUAAGGACCUAUGGUAUAGCACCGUGAACUAUAUUCAAUACCUUAUCAUAAUCUGUAAUGGAAAAGAAUCUGAAAAAUAAUAGAUACGUACGUAUAUGUGUAACUGAAUCACUUUGCUGUGCACCUGAAACUAACACAUUGUAAAUCAACUAUAUUUCAAUAAAAAUAAAUAAAUCUAAAAAAAUACACUAAUUUAAAAGAAGUAGUAGAAAAAAUAAUCUUAUCUUCUUGACAUUUUUCGUGCUGUUGGAAAAGUCCCUAAGACUAGAAUUCUAGAAACCACCAUGUGCACAUACCAACUUCCAUAAUGGAGGCGUUUUUUUCUCUCUGAAGGCAUAAUUGUCGUUUUCAUAGAAAAAUCAUAUCUGGAUUCAUGAAUUGCUAAUUACACCGCCCAAUUUAGGGCAAUAACUUGAAUUCAGUUUCUAACAAAAACCAUAUUGAAUAAUGGCUGCCGAGCUGUUAGAAGCACAGCGGUUCUUUGGGUUCAAAUGUGUCCUAUUAGUGCUUGUGAGUGACCGCUCUGAUGACUGCCCAGCAGACCUCCUGGUCACAUCCACCCACGGCGCGCCUGUGGUCAGCGUCACUGGGGGACCUAGCAGCCUUUUCCUCGGCUACAUGGCCACGGGAAGGUCAAGUAGCGCUGUGCCAACAGUUAACGGGGGAUUUACUGGAGCCCUCUGCUCUCUUGCUCUGCUUCCUGGCCCCGGCCGAGCCCUCUCCCCCUCCACACCUUAAAUGUGACUCCACAGAGAAGUUCUGCCCGAGCAGUUUCGCACAUGUCCACGUAACAGACGGCUGGAGGCGGGAGCACAGUCGUUCAGAAACCACAAUGUGGGGUGCUUGUGUGAAGGGCUAGGAGGGGGCCCAUAAAGCCAGCAGAUCAGAAUGAGUCAGCUGCUGUGAGGAGUGGUUGAAGUAGCUUUAAUGACUUCUUUUUGCUUAACUAAGGGCUAGAAGACUGAACUUCUAUGAACAAGCACCAUAUAGAAGAAUGGAAGAAAAAACGAAGUUCUUCAGAAGUAUGAAAUGGUGGAAUGAUUAUGCAUUGAAGAAGUUGGGAAGAGCGACAUGACCUUUAAAGCCCCACGGUCCUGUCACUGGCGAUGCCUUGGCUUCAAGCAAGCUCACUGAAUAGUUCUCUGCUUGCCCAAAAGAGUUGAAAUGGAUAUUCUAAAACUACAAGAAGUCAAGAGUCCGGGACACAAUUUCAUCUAAAAGGUCGCUGACUGAGGAGCCUAGAGGAGUCGAGAACUUUGUGAGAACGCUAGUUCUCGUGAUUGUCCACAUACAGCCUACAGACCGGAGGUGCGGCUCCGCUCCUGAGAUCGGAGGUUUGCACCUCUUUCCAAACCGAACAGUCAGGAUGACCUUCCUGGGACGUCAGAUGCCUUCAGAGAACGUUCCUGGUCUGUGGGGAUGAGAAAGGGGAAGCCAUUCUAGGACCCUGAGGAGGAAGGGACUGGUGGCUGGCAGGAUGCCACUGGUUGCAGGUUUUUAUGUUCCUGUUCCCCAGACAUAAAUGUCAACUGAGGGUGGAUUUACAGAUACUUGCUAACAUGGGCGAAUUUGACAGCCGCCUGCUGAUCUCCACCCCUCGUGCAGGAAUGACUUGAGUUACAAACCCUGCAGGAGAACGAAAUGCUAAGGACAACACGGGCUUGGGGCUAAUGGAGCGUGUGGCUGGCUUAGGCUGAGUGGCACAGCGGUGCGGCGUGACCUGCGGGGCCGGCCUUACACUGGCUGGAUCCUCUGCUGGUUUGGGGCUGUCCUCAGACGUUUCGGGGGCUGUUGGCACAGACACAGGAAGCAAAGGAGAUCUCGCCUUUCCCGCCAGCCCCAGAGAGGCUGUUUUAACAUUCGGAUCAGGCCUCUCCAGAUGAAGCUCCGCCAGUCAUAUGCAAUUUCAAAUCUCACUGGAAAGGGUUGCCUGGGAGCUCCACACUGUUUUUGUCACGCCUUGGAAAGCAUCAGAACCAAGGAAUACUUGUGAGAUGAUUGCUCUAGUCUACAGGUGAGUAUUAGAUGUUACACUACAAAAAAAAGCCCUUUACAGCUAACCUCAUAGAAUCGCAUUACUAUUUUCUUUUGGAAAAGAAAAUUUUCUCUCCUGAUCAGUAUAGUGCCUCUCAUUCAAAUACAUUCCAGUGCUUGUGAAAAUGAUUUGAAUAACUGCUGAGUUUCUACUAAACAACAUUUCUGUCUGCUGUAAACAAUGGCUGCCUUCUCUUUUGGGGUCUAAAUUUUAUAAAGGUGUAUUGAUCAGCUUAUUGAUCAGCUAGUAUACCUCACACACCUAAGAACUUUGGUCAUCCUCAGCACAGCAGGCACUGAGUAAAAGCAUCAAAGACGUUCGCCCCAGCUCUUGUUAGUGAUGAUAUUUAAGUUCUAAUGAUGCCGGUGGCACACUGUAUAUUUGCGGGGGGGGUUUGUUUUGAAGACAUAGUUCUAAUAAAAAGCUCAAAAAUUACUCUACUAUCAGAGAAAUAGGAGAUAUUUGCUUACUGGGAAAGAGAGAACACAAACAACCCAGUAGGCUAGCAAUUUGCUAAAUGAUAAAUCCCCAAAAAGCACUGUUUCCUCAUGCCCUGGCCUAGCAUGUCAUUCCCUUAUGUUUAUAUUGUUUCACUCUAUUCUUAAACCAAGGAAGAAAAGUCUGCAGUUGGAGUGAUUUAUCACUAGAGGGUGAUCUUAAGUUUUUGGUAACUCACAGAAGAAACAGGAGAAACAAGAAU
Vicugna pacos (alpaca) is the source of this 2831-nucleotide non-coding RNA. NCBI's taxonomy places the organism in Eukaryota, Metazoa, Chordata, Mammalia, Artiodactyla, Camelidae. The record is from RefSeq and is a predicted model, not a curated record.